This 375-nucleotide ribosomal RNA is filed under the name uncultured soil bacterium. Its description in RNAcentral is "bacterial SSU rRNA". It matches the Rfam family "Bacterial small subunit ribosomal RNA", at positions 26 to 401 of the family's 1533-position model. The record is from RNAcentral.
AGAUUGAACGCUGGCGGCAUGCCUUACACAUGCAAGUCGAACGGCAGCACGGGAGCAAUCCUGGUGGCGAGUGGCGAACGGGUGAGUAAUACAUCGGAACGUGCCCAAUCGUGGGGGACAACGCAGCGAAAGCUGUGCUAAUACCGCAUAAGAUCUACGGAUGAAAGCAGGGGAUCGCAAGACCUUGCGCGAAUGGAGCGGCCGAUGGCAGAUUAGGUAGUUGGUGAGGUAAAGGCUCGACCAAGCCUUCGAUCUGUAGCUGGUCUGAGAGGACGACCAGCCACACUGGGACUGAGACACGGCCCAGACUCCGUACGGAGGCAGCAGUGGGAAUUUGGACAAGUGGGACGAAAGCCUAGAUCGACGCAUGACGCG